This 1304-nucleotide ribosomal RNA is filed under the name uncultured bacterium. Its description in RNAcentral is "bacterial SSU rRNA". It matches the Rfam family "Bacterial small subunit ribosomal RNA", at positions 97 to 1401 of the family's 1533-position model. The record is from RNAcentral.
GGCGAACGGGUGAGUAACGCGUGGGUAACCUACCCUGGAGUGGGGGACAACAGUUGGAAACGACUGCUAAUACCGCAUAAGCCCACAGUACCGCAUGGUACAGAGGGAAAAGGAGCAAUUCGCUUCAGGAUGGACCCGCGUCUGAUUAGCUAGUUGGUGAGGUAACGGCCCACCAAGGCGACGAUCAGUAGCCGGACUGAGAGGUUGAUCGGCCACACUGGAACUGAGACACGGUCCAGACUCCUACGGGAGGCAGCAGUGAGGAAUAUUGGUCAAUGGUCGGAAGACUGAACCAGCCAAGUAGCGUGAAGGAUGAAGGUUCUAUGGAUUGUAAACUUCUUUUAUACGGGAAUAAAGCCCGCUACGUGUAGCGGUUUGUAUGUACCGUAUGAAUAAGCAUCGGCUAACUCCGUGCCAGCAGCCGCGGUAAUACGGAGGAUGCGAGCGUUAUCCGGAUUUAUUGGGUUUAAAGGGAGCGUAGACGGGAUGUUAAGUCAGUUGUGAAAGUUUGCGGCUCAACCGUAAAAUUGCAGUUGGAACUGGGAGCCUUGAGUGUGCAUAAGGUGGAUGGAAUUCGUGGUGUAGCGGUGAAAUGCUUAGAUAUCACGAAGAACUCCGAUUGCGAAGGCAGUCCACUGGGGCACUACUGACGCUGAGGCUCGAAAGUGCGGGUAUCAAACAGGAUUAGAUACCCUGGUAGUCCGCACAGUAAACGAUGGACACUCGCUGUUGGCGAUAUACAGUCAGCGGCCAAGCGAAAGCAUUAAGUGUCCCACCUGGGGAGUACGCCGGCAACGGUGAAACUCAAAGGAAUUGACGGGGGCCCGCACAAGCGGAGGAACAUGUGGUUUAAUUCGAUGAUACGCGAGGAACCUUACCCGGGCUUGAACUGCAGGAGACUUAGGCGGAAACGUCUUUUCCCUUCGGGGCUCCUGUGGAGGUGCUGCAUGGUUGUCGUCAGCUCGUGCCGUGAGGUGUCGGCUUAAGUGCCAUAACGAGCGCAACCCUUGCCGGUAGUUGCCAUCAGGUAAUGCUGGGGACUCUGCCGGGACUGCCAUCGCAAGAUGUGAGGAAGGUGGGGAUGACGUCAAAUCAGCACGGCCCUUACGUCCGGGGCUACACACGUGUUACAAUGGGAGGUACAGAAGGCCGCUACCCGGUGACGGGAUGCCAAUCCCCAAAACCUCUCUCAGUUCGGACUGGAGUCUGCAACCCGACUCCACGAAGCUGGAUUCGCUAGUAAUCGCGCAUCAGCCAUGGCGCGGUGAAUACGUUCCCGGGCCUUGCACUCACCGCCCGUCAAG